Molecule: unclassified non-coding RNA, 597 nt
Filed under: Talaromyces purpureogenus
Lineage: Eukaryota; Fungi; Ascomycota; Eurotiomycetes; Eurotiales; Trichocomaceae
Description: sequence contains ITS1, 5.8S rRNA gene and ITS2
Source: RNAcentral
GAACUUGGGACUCUACCUGAUCCGAGGUCACCGUGGAAAAAUAUGGAAGACCAACGCCCGUAGAUCCUUCCCGAGCGGGUGACAAAGCCCCAUACGCUCGAGGACCUAGGCGGGCGUCGCCACUGCCUUUCAGGCAGGUCCCCAGGGGGACCACACCCAACACACAAGCCGUGCUUGAGGGCAGAAAUGACGCUCGGACAGGCAUGCCCCCCGGAAUGCCAGGGGGCGCAAUGUGCGUUCAAAGAUUCGAUGAUUCACGGAAUUCUGCAAUUCACAUUACUUAUCGCAUUUCGCUGCGUUCUUCAUCGAUGCCGGAACCAAGAGAUCCAUUGUUGAAAGUUUUGAUUAUUAUCAAUCAUGCUCAGACAGUCCAUCUUCAUUAGGGUUCAAGGGCGCUCUGGCGGGCACGGGCCCAGGGGCAGCACAGUGCCCCUCGGCGACUGGGGAUUCCCAGUGGGCCCGCCAAAGCAACAGGGUAUACAAGAGACAAGGGUGGGAGGUUCACAACAGUCACGGUUGGAAUUUUGGGCUGAACAUACCCAAAGUCGGAAUCGGGAAAAAGAGCCGCCAGGAUUACAAUUUAUUAUAUUACAAUCC